ACCCGGUCCCAUUCCGAACCCGGAAGUGAAACAUCAGCACGUCGAUGGUAGUCGGACGACAGGUCCCGCGAGAGUAGAUAGCUGCCAGGG
RNAcentral lists this ribosomal RNA (90 nucleotides) under Akkermansiaceae bacterium. Lineage: Bacteria; Pseudomonadati; Verrucomicrobiota; Verrucomicrobiia; Verrucomicrobiales; Akkermansiaceae. The record is from RNAcentral.